GCCAGUGAUAUUGUCCUGUCACAGCAGUAUUGUUAAUUAAGCAAUUGGUACUGCUGAGCCGGGGCAUUAACAUUGUU
Molecule: microRNA precursor, 77 nt
Organism: Drosophila grimshawi
Lineage: Eukaryota; Metazoa; Arthropoda; Insecta; Diptera; Drosophilidae
Rfam family: mir-1000 microRNA precursor family
Source: Rfam